AACAUUGCCUCUAGAAAAUAUUAGAGGUACAUCCUGCCCGGUGACAUACGUGUUAAACGGCCGCGGUAACCUGACCGUGCUAAGGUAGCAUAAUAAUUUGCCUCUUAAUUGGUGGCUGGUAUGAACGGACACACGAGAGCCAAGCUGUCUCUUUUUCACAUUUAAAAACUAACCUUCAGGCGAAAAGGCCUGAAUAACUUUAUAGGACAAGAAGACCCUGUCAAGCUUUACUAGUUAUGUUUAUUUAUAAUAUUUUAAUAACUUCACUAACUCAUUUCUAGUUUAGUUGGGGCGACUGAGGACCAAAACUAGCGUCCUUCAAAUCCUCUAAGGGCAAUAACCCAUAUCAAAUGACCCUUAAAAAGAUCAAGAGAUAAGCUACUGCAGGGAUAACAGGCUAAUUUUUCCUAAGAGCCCAAAUCGAAGGAAAAGUUUGGCACCUCGAUGUUGGCUUAAGACACCCUUAAAGUGCAGCAGCUUUAUACGGUAGGUUUGU
This 496-nucleotide ribosomal RNA is filed under the name Phylo michaelseni. RNAcentral describes it as "partial 16S ribosomal RNA". It matches the Rfam family "Bacterial large subunit ribosomal RNA", at positions 1812 to 2580 of the family's 2925-position model. The record is from RNAcentral. Lineage: Eukaryota; Metazoa; Annelida; Polychaeta; Orbiniidae.